GCAGCAAACCGUUCUGUCGCUCCAUGCUAAUGUGCAUGGGGAGGAAAGUCCGGACAACACAGAGCACCAUACUUCCUAACGGGAAGAUACCCGCGAGGGUAUAGUAACGUAACAGAAAAUAACCGCCCCGAGCAAUCGGGGUAAGGGUGAAAAGGUGAGGUAAGGGCUCACCGGGCCCCGUGGCGACACGGGGUGCCGUACGUCUUAUGGGUUGAAAGACCAUGUAUACCGGCGCUGAGGAUUGCUCGUCCGAUGCCGGGGGGUAGGUCGUUAAAGCCGUUCAGCAAUGACCGGCGUAGAGAAAUGACAGGAUACCAGUCUGUUUAUCUCUGUGAGAUUGAAGGACUGGUAACAGAAUCCGGCUUACAGGUUUGCUGCAUUA
This 382-nucleotide RNase P RNA is filed under the name Bacteroidota bacterium. RNAcentral's name for it is "Bacteroidetes bacterium (marine metagenome) RNase P RNA component class A". It matches the Rfam family "Bacterial RNase P class A". From Rfam's summary of the family: Ribonuclease P (RNase P) is a ubiquitous endoribonuclease, found in archaea, bacteria and eukarya as well as chloroplasts and mitochondria. Its best characterised activity is the generation of mature 5'-ends of tRNAs by cleaving the 5'-leader elements of precursor-tRNAs. Cellular RNase Ps are ribonucleoproteins. The record is from RNAcentral. Lineage: Bacteria; Pseudomonadati; Bacteroidota.